GGCAGCAUAGUGUAGUGGUUAUCACGUCAGCUUUACACGCUGAAUGUCGAGGGUUCGAACCCCUCUGCAGCCA
Physocladia obscura is the source of this 73-nucleotide non-coding RNA. The record is from the annotation of a GenBank genome assembly. Lineage: Eukaryota; Fungi; Chytridiomycota; Chytridiomycetes; Chytridiales; Chytriomycetaceae.